Non-coding RNA from Whalleya microplaca, 97 nucleotides. The record is from the annotation of a GenBank genome assembly. NCBI's taxonomy places the organism in Eukaryota, Fungi, Ascomycota, Sordariomycetes, Xylariales, Xylariaceae.
GCUCGGUUAACUCAGCUGGUUAGAGUGUCGUACUAAUAUUUCCACCACGGAAUGUCAAGUAAUGCGAAAGUCAUGAGUUCAAUCCUCAUACUGAGCA